RNAcentral lists this long non-coding RNA (398 nucleotides) under Elaeis guineensis (African oil palm). RNAcentral describes it as "long non-coding RNA (EGUI_LNC052410)". The record is from RNAcentral. Lineage: Eukaryota; Viridiplantae; Streptophyta; Magnoliopsida; Arecales; Arecaceae.
UGCCAGAGCUUGUGCCACAUUCUGCAAGUUCAUUUUUUCGGCCAGUGCCUCCUGUGCCAAUUCGACUCGAGGAGGAUCAGAUUGAGGAUAUUGUGCAGCGGGUUAUUGCUCAGAUGAGGAACGUUGUUUGAGAGGUGUUUAUUGAGUAGCGUUCUUCCAUGUCUAUGGAUUCAUCCUUCUCACCCCUCUUGACCCGCACCUUAGACUAGGCUGCAUGCAGUUUCAUCUUUUUUAAGCUUAAGCCCUUUUUAUUGCUUGUUGUUUAAGCUCCUUUUGGAUCUAUAAUGUAUGCCUCCUUUUUCUUCGGACUCCAGAUCAAGAAAUCAAAUGAGGAGAUCUUCAUCAACUAAAGCAAGUUCAUCAAGAAAAUGUUAAGAAAAUUUAGGAUGGAGAAUGUC